UAGUAACGGCGAGUGAAGCGGCAACAGCUCAAAUUUGAAAGCUAGCCUUCGGGUUCGCAUUGUAAUUUGUAGAGGAUGAUUUGGGGAAGCCGCCUGUCUAAGUUCCUUGGAACAGGACGUCAUAGAGGGUGAGAAUCCCGUAUGUGACAGGAAAUGGCACCCUAUGUAAAUCUCCUUCGACGAGUCGAGUUGUUUGGGAAUGCAGCUCUAAAUGGGAGGUAAAUUUCUUCUAAAGCUAAAUAUUGGCGAGAGACCGAUAGCGCACAAGUAGAGUGAUCGAAAGAUGAAAAGCACUUUGGAAAGAGAGUUAAAAAGCACGUGAAAUUGUUGAAAGGGAAGCGCUUGCAAUCAGACUUGUUUAAACUGUUCGGCCGGUCUUCUGACCGGUUUACUCAGUUUGGACAGGCCAGCAUCAGUUUCGGCGGCCGGAUAAAGGCUCUGGGAAUGUGGCCUCCACUUCGGUGGAGGUGUUAUAGCCCAGGGUGUAAUACGGCCAGCCGGGACUGAGGUCCGCGCUUCGGCUAGGAUGCUGGCGUAAUGGUUGU
Molecule: ribosomal RNA, 545 nt
Filed under: Aureobasidium proteae
Lineage: Eukaryota; Fungi; Ascomycota; Dothideomycetes; Dothideales; Saccotheciaceae
Description: eukaryotic LSU rRNA
Rfam family: Eukaryotic large subunit ribosomal RNA
Source: RNAcentral